ACACUAUCAUUAACUGAAUCCAUAGGUUAAUGAGGCGAACCGGGGGAACUGAAACAUCUAAGUACCCCGAGGAAAAGAAAUCAACCGAGAUUCCCCCAGUAGCGGCGAGCGAACGGGGAGCAGCCCAGAGCCUGAAUCAGUGUGUGUGUUAGUGGAAGCGUCUGGAAAGGCGCGCGAUACAGGGUGACAGCCCCGUACACAAAAAUGCACAUGCUGUGAGCUCGAUGAGUAGGGCGGGACACGUGGUAUCCUGUCUGAAUAUGGGGGGACCAUCCUCCAAGGCUAAAUACUCCUGACUGACCGAUAGUGAACCAGUACCGUGAGGGAAAGGCGAAAAGAACCCCGGCGAGGGGAGUGAAAAAGAACCUGAAACCGU
This 376-nucleotide ribosomal RNA is filed under the name Escherichia coli. Its description in RNAcentral is "partial 23S ribosomal RNA". It matches the Rfam family "Bacterial large subunit ribosomal RNA", at positions 145 to 559 of the family's 2925-position model. The record is from RNAcentral. Lineage: Bacteria; Pseudomonadati; Pseudomonadota; Gammaproteobacteria; Enterobacterales; Enterobacteriaceae.